CCUGCUUCUCGGCCUUUUGGCUAAGAUCAAGUGUAGUAUCUGUUCUUAUCAGUAGCAUCAUAAUUAAUGGUGAACGAUUGGAAGCUUUUCCAGUAAAACCUGGAAUUACAGGAAUGUCCACUAAUCACUACCCUUC
Molecule: small nuclear RNA, 136 nt
Filed under: Ochotona princeps (American pika)
Lineage: Eukaryota; Metazoa; Chordata; Mammalia; Lagomorpha; Ochotonidae
Description: U2 spliceosomal RNA (ENSOPRG00000022621.1)
Rfam family: U2 spliceosomal RNA (bases 1-89)
About the family: U2 is a small nuclear RNA (snRNA) component of the spliceosome (involved in pre-mRNA splicing).
Source: RNAcentral